Molecule: ribosomal RNA, 468 nt
Filed under: uncultured bacterium
Lineage: Bacteria
Description: partial 16S ribosomal RNA
Rfam family: Bacterial small subunit ribosomal RNA
Source: RNAcentral
GACGAACGCUGGCGGCGUGCUUAACACAUGCAAGUCGAACGGAAAGGCCCUGCUUUUGUGGGGUGCUCGAGUGGCGAACGGGUGAGUAAAACGUGAGUAAACUGCCCUUGACUUUGGGAUAACUUCAGGAAACUGGGGCUAAUACCGGAUAGGAGAUCCUGCUGCAUGGGGGGGGUUGGAAAGUUUCGGCGGUUGGGGCUGGACUCGCGGGUUAUCAGCUUGUUGGUGGGGUAGUGGCUUACCAGGGGUUUGACGGGUAGCCGGCCUGGGAGGGGGACCGGCCUCAUGGGGACUGAGAUAGGGACCAGUAGCCUACGGGAGGCAGUAGGGGGGAAUAUUGCGCAAUGGGGGGAAGCCUGAGGCAGCAGCGCCGCGUUCGUGAUGAUGUCCUUCGAGUGGUAAACCGCUGUCGCAGUAGACGAAGCGGUAUUGACGGUAAUUGGUAAAGAAGCACCGGCUAACUACGUG